This 312-nucleotide ribosomal RNA is filed under the name Triticum aestivum (bread wheat). RNAcentral's name for it is "partial small subunit ribosomal RNA". Lineage: Eukaryota; Viridiplantae; Streptophyta; Magnoliopsida; Poales; Poaceae. The record is from RNAcentral.
AUGAUCUGGCAUAUGCAUGAUCAGGACGGUGCAUUGUGUCAUAUCAAUGGCGAGUUGAAGAUACUCUGUGUGUCGCACAAAGCUGAUGCUGGGUUUCACGAACCCGUCACCAUCAUAGACACACUUGACGCCGUCGUUCCGGUAGAUCGUCUUGACGAGCAGGAACACUGCCUGGAUGCUGGUGAUGGGGUUGAGGAGGUAAGGGUUGCUGACAUCAUCAUUGGUGAACAUAUCGCCGUCAUGGCACGCGAAGGUGAAGCCCUGCUUCUCGUGUGUUGGCCCCGGAAGGUGGCGCUGCUGGAGUGCCAGUAG